This 340-nucleotide unclassified non-coding RNA is filed under the name Hevea brasiliensis (rubber tree). Lineage: Eukaryota; Viridiplantae; Streptophyta; Magnoliopsida; Malpighiales; Euphorbiaceae. The record is from RNAcentral.
AAUAAAUAAAUAAAUAAAAGAGAGAGAGAAAGAGACAGCAGCAACUCUCUAAUUUGGACAGCAACUUCUAAUUUGAGCAUCAGCUUAUAAAGGGCCAAGAGACACAUGGGAAAAACAAAUUGAGACAUGAUAGUAGAAGCUCAAAUAAGGGUUGCCAUCAGGUAUAAACUACAGUGGAAAGAAUUUUUUACCAAGAAAAACGCAAGUGGUGUGGGUGGGGUGGAGGGGAGAGAGAGAGGAGAGCACAACUAGAGAACGAGCAAGGGAAAGAUAAGCAUGCCCGAUUUGAUUUUGAAACCCACCACCAGCAAUCGAUCCUCUGUUAUUCUAGAUCUUUUUC